UACUAGAGUAGCACUCGCAUAUCAAUAAGCGGAGGAAAAGAAACUAACAAGGAUUCCCCUAGUAACGGCGAGUGAAGCGGGAAGAGCUCAAAUUUGAAAUCUUAAAGGGUUUCCCUUUACGAAUUGUAGUUUAAAGAAGUGUUUUCUGUUGAGGUUUUGGUAAAAGUUCUUUGGAAUAGGACAUCAUAGAGGGUGAGAAUCCCGUAUUUGACCUUUACUUUCAACUUUGUGAUACACUUUCAAAGAGUCGGAUUGUUUGGGAAUGCAGUCCAAAAUGGGUGGUAAAUUUCAUCUAAAGCUAAAUAUUGGCGAGAGACCGAUAGCGAACAAGUAUCGUGAGGGAAAGAUGAAAAGAACUUUGAAAAGAGAGUUAAACAGUACGUGAAAUUGUCAAAAGGGAAGCGUUUGACACCAGUGUUGUUUUUCUGAAAAUCAAUUAAAGAACUGUUUAUGCUAAGCUGUUUAGACUUUAUCAGCUAUCUGCUUAGUUUUGAGCUUUUCUUUAAUGCACUUUUCAGUUAACAAGUCAACAUCAAUUUCUUUUGCUGUAAAAAAGCUUGAGGAAGGUGGCUUGAGAUUCGUCUUAAGUGUUUAUAGCCUCUUGCCUAUGCAGUCGGAGAGAUUGAGGUCUGCAGCGUAGAUCCUUCGGGGCUAAAUGCAUUUGUGCUAAGUUAUAGCAUUUUAUAGACAACUUGUUGACUAUGAUUUGUCUUGUAGCUUACUCGCUUAUGUUAUUUUACCUACGCUUAGGAUGUUGAGUAGCGACAUACGCAC
This 774-nucleotide ribosomal RNA is filed under the name uncultured Neocallimastigales. RNAcentral describes it as "partial large subunit ribosomal RNA". It matches the Rfam family "Eukaryotic large subunit ribosomal RNA", at positions 20 to 649 of the family's 3401-position model. The record is from RNAcentral. Lineage: Eukaryota; Fungi; Neocallimastigomycota; Neocallimastigomycetes; Neocallimastigales.